AUUGAACGCUGGCGGCAUGCUUUACACAUGCAAGUCGAACGGCAGCGCGGGCUUCGUCCUGGCUGCGAGUGGCGAACGGGUGAGUAAUACAUCGGAACGUGCCCAGCAGUGGGGGAUAGCUCGGCGAAAGCCGGAUUAAUACCGCAUACGACCUGAGGGUGAAAGCGGGGGAUCUUCGGACCUCGCGCUAUUGGAGCGGCCGAUGGCAGGUUGGCUAGUUGGUGGGGUAAAGGCCUACCUAGGCGACGAUCUGUAGCUGGUCUGAGAGGACGACCAGCCACACUGGGACUGAGACACGGCCCAGACUCCUACGGGAGGCAGCAGUGGGGAAUGUUGGACAAUGGGCGAAAGCCUGAUCCAGCAAUGCCGCGUGUGUGAUGAAGGCCUUCGGGUUGUAAAGCACUUUUGGCGGGAACGAAAAGGACUGUGCCAAUACCACGGUUCGAUGACGGUACCCGCAGAAUAAGCACCGGCUAACUACGUG
RNAcentral lists this ribosomal RNA (484 nucleotides) under uncultured bacterium. Its description in RNAcentral is "partial 16S ribosomal RNA". It matches the Rfam family "Bacterial small subunit ribosomal RNA", at positions 29 to 507 of the family's 1533-position model. The record is from RNAcentral.